Ribosomal RNA from Endozoicomonas sp., 116 nucleotides. The record is from Rfam. Lineage: Bacteria; Pseudomonadati; Pseudomonadota; Gammaproteobacteria; Oceanospirillales; Endozoicomonadaceae.
CUUGACGGCAAAAGAGCUUUGGAACCACCUGAUUCCAUCCCGAACUCAGCAGUGAAACGAGGCAUCGCCGAUGGUAGUGUGGGGUCUCCCCAUGUGAGAGUAGGUCACCGUCAAGC